UCGAGGAUCUUCGGCAAUGGGGGCAACCCUGACCGAGCGAUGCCGCGUGGGCGACGAAGGCCUUCGGGUUGUAAAGCUCUUUCGGUGAAGACGAAACGGUCAAUGCUAAUAACAUUGACUAAUGACGGUACUCACAGAAGAAGCACCGGCUAACUACGUGCCAGCAGCCGCGGUAAUACGUAGGGUGCAGGCGUUAAUCGGAAUUACUGGGCGUAAAGCGUGCGCAGGCGGUUUGCUAAGACAGGUGUGAAAUCCCCGGGCUUAACCUGGGAAUUGCGCUUGUAACUGGCAAGCUAGAGUGUAGCAGAGGGGGGUAGAAUUCCACGUGUAGCAGUGAAAUGCGUAGAUAUGUGGAGGAAUACCGAUGGCGAAGGCAGCCCCCUGGGUUAACACUGACGCUCAUGCACGAAAGCGUGGGGAGCAAA
RNAcentral lists this ribosomal RNA (425 nucleotides) under uncultured bacterium. Its description in RNAcentral is "bacterial SSU rRNA". It matches the Rfam family "Bacterial small subunit ribosomal RNA", at positions 355 to 772 of the family's 1533-position model. The record is from RNAcentral.